Acanthosepion pharaonis is the source of this 110-nucleotide non-coding RNA. NCBI's taxonomy places the organism in Eukaryota, Metazoa, Mollusca, Cephalopoda, Sepiida, Sepiidae. The record is from the annotation of a GenBank genome assembly.
UUACGGCUAUAUCACAUUGAAACAUCGGUUCUCGUACGAUCAUCGAAGUUAAGCAACGUCCAGCCUGGUUAAUACCAAGAAAGAUGACCGCUUGGAAAUACCAGGUGUAG